GAAUUAAAUAUUUCCUCAACUAUGUAUAAUACCAAUUGACGAGGCUCUCAUACCAAGCGACAAGAUCACUCUCCAAGGCAUGCCAAGCACUUAGCUAGUAAGUAUACAGGACAUGAAACACUGAUACUUAGGCAAUACAUAUUUCCACCAUAUUUAGUUGAUCUCAUGUGGUGAUCAGCAUUAGAUAGCCAGUAAAUAAAAUGGCAUGAGCAUUGUCAGAUGCGGUAAACGAUAGUGGAAGAGAGACCAUAGAUAGAUUUCAUGAAGUGCAGAACAUAUCAGCAUCUAAUUGGUAUGAUUCGAUCUGUCAUUCUCAAGUUCCAGGUGUCUUCCAUGCCUACAG
RNAcentral lists this long non-coding RNA (343 nucleotides) under Oryza brachyantha (malo sina). RNAcentral's name for it is "long non-coding RNA (OBRA_LNC003365)". The record is from RNAcentral. Lineage: Eukaryota; Viridiplantae; Streptophyta; Magnoliopsida; Poales; Poaceae.